GGCUAGCGCGUGAUAUGCGCAUCCCCGUUAUCUUUCCUUGAUUCUCAGCAUGGUUUAGAAGGCUAAUAAGUGCUUUCGUGCAUAAGAUGAAUAUGAAAGGAGACAAAGGAUCUCCCUGUCGCAGACCCCGUUUGGGGGUUAUAUUUCCUCUUGGGUGGCCAUUGAAUAAGACAUGUGAUGUGAUUCUGGAUAACACAAAGGAAUGGAAUCAUGAACCUGGAGAGCUUGUAGCUGACGAUGCAACAAGAAGAAUUCAUUGUUCGAGAUGGAAGCACUAUCAUCUUUAUACCUCAACCACCAUCCAAGACAUUCUAAGUUCAAACUGAUCAACAACUAAGCAAGUAGAUUGAGUGUGCUCUUUUCCUAACCUUUGGUUUUGUUCCAUUGGGUUUUCCAAAGGAAGGUUUUUAACAAGGCCACAAGUUACUUCAAAUCACUUGGUUGUUGAUCUUGGUCCAAGAAUAUCAUUAUCUAUCUUAUGUUAUUUUUAUUUCUAAGUUUAUGUUAUGUUUUUCUUCAUUUUCGAAAACUCUAGUCUUUGGUCUUUGUUGUAUUUUUGAGAGGACCCUGUCUUUACUCCUCUUGCAUUUUCGAAAGCUUGUCCAUGUACAAGUCUCUCCCUUUAUAAACCUGGUCGAAAUCUAAUAAGAGGACUCCAAUUUUUUUAUCAAAACCUUUGUUUUCUCUUUUCUUCUUGCUUGUCGAGUUGAUUGAGUAUUGGUGUGUAAUAUCCAACUUCUGGUGUGUAAUAUCCAGAGACUAAGGGCUCUAGUUUGGUGUGUCAUAUCCGAUAUAUUGCCUAGGAGUAUCAAGAAGCCUUUCCGCAGCCUCUUUUGUCACCAUUCGAUCCACAUGCCUUGAGAAACUUGAGUCUUUUGAUUCGUUUCUGCAAGGAUUAUCCUAUCUGUUCUAGAGCAUAAUCCUAGGAUCUCAGUAAGUGGUAUCAGAGUAACUCUGGAAGGGAAGUGUUUGAUUUCUAUCUGUUUUGGAUUUGAUCUCUUCAUAUUCUGUUGUGAUUUUGAUCAAUCUGUGUUUCUUGUGUAGAAAUCUAUCGAAAUAGGUUUCAUUGAUCUUGAUUCUAAAACUAGACUGUUCGGAGUCUUUGUGAGAAAGUUACUGAUUUGUUUUAAUCUGAACCUGUUUGGUGUUUGUAGAAGACGAUCUGUGUGUUUGACGUUGAGACCUGAUAGUACUAAAUACUUUGAUCACGUUUUGGGUUUCAGACUGUUCACAUCCUUGAUCAGAAAGCCAUUGAUUUGUUUGCUUGAUCUGUUUCUGAUUUUGUUAAAUUGAAUCGAUUUGUUUCUGUUGUUGUGAAUCUGUUCUAUUCAGAUUUUUUUUUAAGAAAUCCAAGAUUGAAACUGAACCUGAUUUCGUGAUCUCUCUCUGUUCUGUUUUGAAAUCAAACUGAUCUGUUUCUGCUUUGUUAAGAUUGAUAGAUUAGUGUUUUUUUGUUUCUGAUUAUCAGCCUGUUCCUGAUUAUCAAUCUGUUUUGUUUCUGGUUUAAGUUUGAUUUUCGUUUUGAAUCUGUUUUAUUUGUUGUUCACUUGUUUCUGGAUUCGAAAAUCAAUUAUCAAACUAUCUUGUUCAAUUGUUUGUGUUCUGUUUUGUUGUCUACUUGUUGCUGAAUUCGAAAAUCAACCAAACUGUUGUUUAUUGCAAUUCUGAGUAUUAUGUUUAUGUUUGCAAGUUGAUUAAUUGUUUUUCUCUAAGAAACUUUUACUGGUUGUGUUCUUCUUGUGUCUCAGGAGCCAUGGAAAGAGAUCAAGAAGGAAGAAUCAACACUGCUAGGACUGCUUCUUUGCAGAAGAUAAUGAAAUUCAGAAUGGAAAGUCAGCAGAAACAUGAUGAACUUAUGCAGAAAAGGAUGAGGCAGAGAUCAUCAAUGAAAAAAUCAAAAUCUUGAGCCUAAACCACCGGAUUAUUUUCAAUACAGAUCAAGCAAGCAUAAGAGGAUUAAAAAAGAAGAGGCAGAUCGUGGAGAGCAACAUAUCAAGCCAUUAGCCAACACAUGGAGCAGACCACAUCAAUCUUCUCUCAUUCCUAAAUCAAAUUUUCUUUAUUCUGAUUAUACACCAGUUACUGAUGUUCAACUCUAUGCUUUUUCAGGAAAAGCGACUAUCUAGAGUAGGAAAGAACCAUGGACAAGUGGCUCUGUUACAACAGAAUCCUAAAGAAGGAAAGAUUAGAUUUUGCAAUUUCUCGACUCACAAGAAGAGCUUAUAAGUGGUGGUUGCAAGAAGAAGAUGAUCGCAAAUUCUACAAGGAACCAGCUAUCACCACUUUGGAAAAUCUGAAGUUGCUACUAAGGAGUAAGUAUGCAUCCAAAGGCCACACUUUUCUGAAAUCUCCAAUGAAGGAAGCCACAUCUAGUGAGACAGUAACCUGUUACAGAAAAGAGAAAACAGUCUCUAAACCAUCUAUGGAUGAUCAACGAUUCUGUUUCAGUAAAGAAGAAAGGGAGGAGUUGUUACAAGUAAUUAAAAAUGUGAAGAAACAACUCAAGAAGACCAGUGCAACAAAUCCUUCCUUAGAAACACAGAACCAAGAGCCAUUCAAUGCUGUCUCAGAACUCAAAGUUGCAGAGCCGGAAUCAGCAGCACAGAUUCAAGAGGAUCAAACCGAGAUUCCAACAAUCACCAUUCAGAAAGAUUAUCAACCAAUCAUGGACGACUUGGUUCUUUUCAGACAGGACAUGGUAGAAGAAGAGAUGCCCAGUGAACCACAUACAGAUCAUGGAAUGAAUCAGCUGUGUCUUUGAUCCAAAUGAUUUCCAAAAGACAUUCUUGGAUACAUUUCUGAUCAAUCCUUUUGUUUGGAACAAGACCAGAGCAGUGGAGCUUUCAAGACACGAAUUUGUCUUGAAGCAUGUUGUAUUUGAUCCUGGAGGAGAUCUGUGUCAUCUUAGGAACAAGAUCAAACUGAUUGAGAAGAAAUCAGCUGCAACAACAAAUGAUUUUGUUGAUUUCUCAUCUUCUGAAGAUAAGGUGCUGCACGUCUCAACUCAGCAAGAGUUUCACUACGAAACCAAUUGGAGAUUGUUACCACUCAGUCCUUGAUCCAACAAACCACGCAGUGAAUGGCGACCUGAUCCUCAAAAUAUUUCCGAUUUCGCAAAACAUAUCAGUUUGGAUCAAUUCCGAGAGAUGCUUAUAUCUGAUUGGGCUGGAGUGGAAACCUGGAGCAAAUGUCAGCAUACUUAUAUUCCUUGGAGAAGACUCUGCCCGUGCUAAAUUCAUUUCAGGUCAUAAGGAGUUGGAAGAUGAUCAAAACACCUUGAUUCUCAACCAUGUCAAGAUAUGGAAGCCACCAGUUUUGCAACAACUUCAGUACCAUUGCAGAGAUUAUCAAACAAGGAGUGGCGAUGGAGAAUUCACUAGAGAAAAUGGUGAAAUGAUUACUGGAGGAAGAGAAGAACUCAUGUUUUCUUCUCAAGUCAAGGAGAAACCACCAGAUAAAGUCAAACUGUUUUGAGGUCUACACUUUUUGAAAAGAGGGGCUAUAAUGAUCAGAGUAUCAAUGAUGAGUCCUUGGCUAAGUUGGAGAUGCAACAAUCAAAUCCUGGAAACUGUCUAGCCACCAGCGUUGACAUAGGAGCAGUGCGAGGAUCAUAUCUCAACAACCAAAGGGAAUUAACCAACAAACUCGACUGCAAUGGAAACUUCACUCAUCAGGGUCUCACUUCGAAUUGGAAUCAUGUACAAAGCUUCUCAGGUGAAAGAGUUAUGGAUUCUACAAGUCGGGUGAUCAUGUGUUUUCUUCGCUUGAAUCUUUCUGAGUUUAAAACAUCUCAAUCCUAUCAAUGGCGACCAGGUGAAUAUGCUAAAGUAAGUGAUCAUGUUUUCAAGAGUUCUUUUAUUAUUGAUUACACAGAUAUGAUGCACUUGUUUUUUGUCAAAAGAGCCUUAUGCAGAUUAUGAUGAAGCUUUGAAGCAUUCAAGAAGAAACUACAAGCGUGAGGCAGACAAGAGAUUCAAACCACCUGACUUGGACCAGGAUAAGCACCAAGACGCCCUGUCUUUAGUAUCAUGAAAGAAGCACCUCCAGAUGCAACAUACAAGCCAAAAACGAGCAAAAACAAAUUUGGCAUAAGACUCUUACUCUAUGAUGAUUUCGGUUAUGCUAACUUGUUUUCUUUCAAAGUAUGUGAAUCAGGUUUGAGGAAUGCAUCAUGAGUAAAGAGAGCCAAAUGGAUCAGUCCUUUCUGCAUAACAGAACCAGUCAGAGAUAAUGCCUAUCAAAGAGGCUUGCAAGGUAAGUGUAAUCUGAUUUUAAACUAUAAUGUUACUGACUUGGUCCCCUCUAUUGCAGAUAAAACAGAUUUGAGGACAAAUCCUUUUCAAGAGGGAGGGAAUGAUGUGAUUCUGGAUAGCACAAAGGAAUGGAAUCAUGAACCUGAUCAUGGAGAGCUUGUAGCUGAGGAUGCAACAAGAAGAAUUCAUUGUUCGAUAUGGAAGCACUAUCAUCUUUAUACCUCAACCACCAUCCAAGACAUUCCAAGAUCAAGCUGAUCAACAACUAAGCAAAAGUAGCUUGUGUGUGCUCUUUUUCCAACCUUUGGUUUUGACCCACUGGGUUUUCCAAAUGAAGGGUUUUAACAAGACCACAAGUUACUUCACAUCACUUGGUUGUUGAUCUUGGUCCAAGAAUAUCAUUAUCUAUCUUAUGUUAUUUUUAUUUCUAAGUUUGUGCAAUGUUUUUCUUCAUUUUCGAAAAUUUUAGUCUUUGGUCUUUGUUGUAUUUUUGAGAGGAGCAUGUCUUUACUCCUCUUGCAUUUUUGAGAGCUUGUGCAUGUACAAGUCUCUCCCUUUAUAAACCUGGUCGAAAUCAAAUAAGAGGAAUCCAAUCUUUUUAUCAAAA
Long non-coding RNA from Brassica napus (rape), 4860 nucleotides. RefSeq lists it as uncharacterized. Lineage: Eukaryota; Viridiplantae; Streptophyta; Magnoliopsida; Brassicales; Brassicaceae. The record is from RefSeq and is a predicted model, not a curated record. The transcript is spliced from 2 exons.